UACGUAGGGCGCAAGCGUUGUCCGGAAUCAUUGGGCGUAAAGAGCUCGUAGGUGGUCUGUUACGUCUGCUGUGAAAACCUAGGGCUUAACCCUGGGCCUGCAGUGGAUACGGGCAGACUAGAGGUAGGUAGGGGAGAAUGGAAUUCCCGGUGUAGCGGUGAAAUGCGCAGAUAUCGGGAGGAACACCGGUGGCGAAGGCGGGUCUCUGGGCCGAUACUGACGCUGAGGAGCGAAAGCGUGGGGAGCGAACAGG
RNAcentral lists this ribosomal RNA (253 nucleotides) under uncultured bacterium. RNAcentral's name for it is "partial 16S ribosomal RNA". It matches the Rfam family "Bacterial small subunit ribosomal RNA", at positions 524 to 776 of the family's 1533-position model. The record is from RNAcentral.